This is a small nuclear RNA of Delphinapterus leucas (beluga whale), 99 nucleotides long. NCBI's taxonomy places the organism in Eukaryota, Metazoa, Chordata, Mammalia, Artiodactyla, Monodontidae. The record is from Ensembl.
CUGUUCACUUUGCCAACAUAUACACUAAAAUUGGAACGAUGCAGAGGUCAUGACCCCUGCACAAAGAUGCUGCAAACUCACAAAGCAUUCCAUGUUUUU